GGAGCUCCUCGCCGACGAGGUGGCGCCCGAGUCGGCGGCUCGGGACUCGGGUGCCUCCCGGGUCCUGGUGCGGUACCGACCGCUGGGUCCCG
Molecule: transfer RNA, 92 nt
Filed under: Streptomyces fructofermentans
Lineage: Bacteria; Bacillati; Actinomycetota; Actinomycetes; Kitasatosporales; Streptomycetaceae
Description: tRNA-Ala
Source: RNAcentral